UUCAGCUACUACUUUUAUCUUGCAUAAGGCUUUAAAGAAUCUAAGAAAGAAAUUCCACCACAAUAAACCAACACAUCAGCGAUGAAAAUUAAACAUAAACCAGAGAUUACUCUUAACGCAACAAUGAGCCCAGUAAAUACAUUGCUCAUGUUACCAAUGAGUUUUCAACUAAAUGAUUACUAACAUUGUCAUCAGAACUGUGAGAUUUCAAAUCUCAGUCAAGUUGAAUAAAACCGAAAAAACAAAAAAAAUACAUAGCACAUGCCGGUUAAAAUUCCAUGCACCUACUUCAUCCUCUCUUGCUUUAUCGCAUUCUCUCACCUGUUGGCAAGAUAGGUUCUGAUCCCGAGUGAGUAAAAAUAUGGGGAUCCAUACAUUGAAAUACUUGAAAUUUUUAAUCACCUUCUACACCUAAAUAUCAAAAUACAGGAAGAUGGGUUUAAUCUCCUAUUACUUCUUCCUCUUUCCUGAGCCGACAUAAUCAUCCGUUGUCAAUUCUUACGUUUCUUUAGCAAGCUGGGACUCUCAGUUUGCCUUCCCGUAGCACGCUUUGACGGUGUUAUGUUCUUGGCAAGCUUCUUCUCUUUGCGUGCUUGUCUCUCUCUCUCAUCAUAUUCUUGGUUUUCCUUCUCCACCAACCGAAUUAGAGUAUCACAUCUCCUUGCGAGUUCUUGAGUUGUACGAGACUUCACAAACCAAUCAAAACGAAACAAAGGUGACGUGCGAAAUGCUGCCUUUAACUCAUCCCAGUUUCCAUAUCCAAGCUUGUGAACCAUGCAAAUCAUGAAUCGAUCACAUUCUUCAUUGUACAGCUUCCCUUUGUUCUGACCAUACUGGAUCUUCAAUUCAAGCCACGGAUUCUUGUAUCGAUCCAAUUUCUUCCCAAUUGCUUUCAUGAUCUCAUCUUUACGGGAAAUUCUAGCCUCUCCUCUCUCAAUAUUCUUAAUGAUCCUAUCAUAAUCUACAGGCAUACCACAAUUCAGAGGAACAAAAAAAAAAAAAGAGAUGAUUAAAUUAUUGCCAAGAUCCAAUGAACAAUAAAUUCUUGCCACAAAUCAAGUAUGGUUCUUUCAACAGUGUAAGGAGAAAGAGUUGGGUGGAUAGGAUGACCAAUGACAAUAAUGGAAACUGAAAAGGCCCAGCUAUGGAGUGGACACAUUAUGCAGAGAUCUUUGCAGCCACCAAUAAAUGCCACAUGAACUAAGGUUGACAGUAACGGAGUGAGCCAGGAAGAAGAUGAAAAAAGAGUUUGCUUAAGUAAGAAAAGAAUAAAACACGAUAUCACUUACCAUUUAACUCUUUGUAUCGCUCUUUAAAAACUUUAGCAUAUCUUUCAACUUCCUCCUCUGUUUUUCCUUCCAUUUCAGAAGCAAUACCUUUUAUGUCAUUCCGUCCAUAUUUCUCACAAGCCCUGAUAAAGGUAUUGAAGUCUCUUCUACUCCAUGAAGAAAAACCCUCUUCCAAUAGUCGCUCCUUUUCUUCCAAUUCUUCAGCAGUCAAAGGUUCUCCACCCUCUUCAGGUUCAUCCACAUCAAUUGUGUCUUUCAACUGAUUCUUUUGAUGCGUUUGCAUGAGGUAGCGUACUUCUUUUUCAUACAAUUCACUCAAUCUUUGUGUGUUGAAAAACUGAAAAUCGUGUAAUUGAGGCAUGCGAGGAAUUCGAGGUUCUUUUGGUUUUGCUGGACCACCUUGACGCAUUGUUUGCUUAAAGUAUUCAGAUUCAGAGUAGUUGCGCUUUCGCUCUCUCUUUGGUGGUUCGAUCCAGUUUUCACUGACAAUCUUCUUGAAGUCAAACUUGUUCUCAUCCUUCAUGAAACCAAAAUAAAAUGAUCAGGGUCAUGAUAUGGAACCAAAACAAAAGAAGGAUGACUCAACCCAGAAUGAAAUGGAACCAGAACUGUCCUUGAAUCAGAAUCGGCUCUCUAAGAUUGGAACCAGCCCAUGGUCAGCACUAAGGGAGGGGAAAUGAGAGGGAUAGACGUAUCUACCUUAUCAUCAUCAAAAUCAUAUAAUUCAGCAGUGUCAUCCAUUUUGAAUUUUAUUGCAUCUUCGGUAAACUUCUUCAUCUUAGCAUCAAGCUCUGCUGUUGCCUCUUCUCCUUUAGCAAUAAUUCUGUCUAUGUCUUCAUCUGUAAUUGUGCUAUCCUUUGAGCUGAAAACCAUUUCAGCACCAAACCUCACCAUUUGAAGCAGCUCAUCUUUAUUAACAGUUUUCUGCUCUGCUAAUCUCCCUUGUUGAAUCACUAAAGCAUCAAGUGCAAGCUUUUUAUAUGCCCUCUCGAUAACUUUUUCCUCAAUGGUAUACUCUGUGCAAAAUCGGAACACUUGAACUUCUUUCUUUUGACCAAUCCUAUGAGCACGAUCCUGUGCUUGCAAAUCAACUUGUGGAUUCCAGUCACUAUCAUAAAGUAUGACAACAUCUGCAGUAGCAAGAUUAAUACCAAGUCCUCCAGCUCUAGUUGACAACAAGAAGACAAAUUUCUCACUCCCUGGCUUGUUAAAGGUAUCAAUGGAAGCAUCACGAUCUUCUCCACCAGUAUUGCCAUCAAUCCGACAAUAUUGAUAGCCACGAAACAUCAAGUAGUCUUCAAGAAUGUCAAGCAACCUAGUCAUCUGUGAAAAUAUCAAAACCCUGGAAUCACGCUCUUUUAGCUUAGGAAGCAACUUAUCCAAGAGAACCAUCUUACCAGCAUUGGUAAUAAGAUGCUCUCCUGUUGUAUAUGGAGGGCCAGGCUCAGCUCCCUGGAAAAGAUAUGGAUGAUUACAGCAUUUACGCAGCUGCAUUGCUAUAUUCAAAAGACGUUUACGUUCUCCACCAGCAUUAACAACUUCAAGGUCUUUCUGCAGCAAUGCCCUGUAAUACUGCUUCUGCAUCUGGGACAUGCCUACUUUCAGUAUGGUCUCCUUCUUUGGUGGCAACCCUUUCUCAACAUCUGAUUUCAGUCUUCGCAGAAGAAAUGGCCGAAGAACCUUGUGCAGUUGUUGAACAACCUCCUGCUGAUCAUUUUCACCAGAAAUUUGAAACCAUUCAUCAAAGGUUUCAGCUGAGCUAAAAAUUUCUGGCAGUAAAAAGUUCAGAAGAGACCAGAGUUCAUGGAGAUUGUUCUGAAGAGGAGUACCAGUAAUGAGGAGCCUGUAAUUGGUGUUAUAAAGUCUCAUUGUUUUUGAAAGAAGAGAAUUUUCAUUUUUAAUUCGAUGGGCUUCAUCAAUGAUUAUGUAGCGCCAGCUAAAGCGACGCAAGGUUGACUUCUCUUUGAUAGCCAUUUCAAAACUUGUAACACACACAUCAAAUUUGCCUGCAACCAGUAAAUUUUCCCGUAUGUGUUUCCUCUCAUCAGGAUUACCAAGAAACUUUACAGCUCGCAAAACUGGACAAAAACGACGAAUUUCAUUCAUCCAGUUACCAAGUGUAGACUUUGGAGCAACUACCAUAUGGGGACCAGUUAUUCCUCUAAAUUCGUGCAGGUAACCCAACAAGGAGAUGGUUUGUAAAGUUUUACCAAGACCCUAGAUUGCAAAAACAUGAAUUUAUCACUAUAACACUGACGCAUAAUAAAAUACAGAAACUCACUGAGAAGUUAUAACACAACCAAACACAGUUCAAAAGAAUACAACAUAACAUAACAAAAGAUCAAGAUAAAAGGGUGAACUCACAGGUUAUUAUAGAAUCAAUAUCAUAUAUCAAAAACAUGGCAUUGAUACAUACCAUUUCAUCUGCAAGAAUUCCAUUUAUACCAUUCUCAUAGAGUCUUAUGAGCCAGUUUAACCCAGCAAGUUGGUAAUCCCUCAUCUUUCCCUGAAUGCAAGAGGGUUGUGCCACCAGCCGAGUGUUUCCAGCCCCAGAUAAACCAUCUUCUUCCUCUUUCAGGCACUCUUCAUCUUCUUCCUCUUCAGUUAUUUUGGAUGCAUGCCGACCCCUUCCCUUAGCUUUCUUCUGGGAUGCAGAUUGAUCAGGUUUGGCAAAAUGAGCAAACAAUUCAGUUUGCUGAAGCAAAUACUUCAGGCGCCCCUUUCCUUUAUUGUUCAUAUCUGCAUCUAUAGCCGCAUUUUGUGCAUCCAAUAUCUCCUGAAUCUUCUGCUUCUUCAAUUUCUGCAUUUCUUUGAGUCUUUCCUUUUCACGCUUGCUCAUUUCAUUGUUGUUUCCUACCUCCUCCACAUCGUCAGUAUCACCGUUGGCAUCGUCUCCAGUACCAUCUGCGGCUUCAUCAUCAUCGGAAUCAGCAGUGCGAGCCACGGCUUCAAGCUCCUCCUCGUCCUCCGCCUCGUUGAUCUGCUCGUUGAUUUGCUCCUCGUCGGACGAAUUGGAGCCACUGGAUAAAGCGUCGUCCGAGGAUUCCUGUUGAUUCGAGAGUCUGGCCAUGGUUGCUUGACUUUCCCUCAGAUCGAGGGUUUCGUUUUGCCUAUAGAUAGGAGAGAGGCAGAGCUAGUUCAAAUUGAAAUUUGUAAGCGACUUUCCAAUAAAAAUGAAAUGAAAUAGCGAGAGGAUGUUUAGUACUACAGAAAAAAAU
This 4507-nucleotide unclassified non-coding RNA is filed under the name Hevea brasiliensis (rubber tree). The record is from RNAcentral. Lineage: Eukaryota; Viridiplantae; Streptophyta; Magnoliopsida; Malpighiales; Euphorbiaceae.